GCCAGGUCGCUGCUCCUAACCAAUAAGGUAUAAAAAAGGUUAUCAGUCUAUCCCGCUGGAAUGAUGUAAUGGUCUAGUUUUUCGCCCUGUUAGUAGGGUUUACCGUGCCUGCUGCAGUGUGGGAAUUAAAAAAUGUUGUCAAGCGGUGAUGUCAGCGACGUAGGCAUUCGGUUUCAUCAAAUGAGUAAGAAGAUUGUAGGAAUCAUGGAGUCUUUUGUGAAUGUCUCACUGCAUUUCUCAACGUUUGACUGAAUUUAGGGUCAGUUUGUAUUGUGAGAAAAAUUACAACAUGAAUGGAUUAGAAGCACUGCAGAAAAGAUUAAAUACAAAUGUAAUCAGUUUUAUCUUUUUAUCUCCCUAAGGUGAUAGCCUCAGUUACUGUAUUGUUAAAUAUAAUUUCCAAAGGGUUGCAUGACCAACUAAUUGUACAAAUUCGCACAAUAAACAAUAAAUGACAA
Clupea harengus (Atlantic herring) is the source of this 458-nucleotide long non-coding RNA. RefSeq lists it as uncharacterized. Lineage: Eukaryota; Metazoa; Chordata; Actinopteri; Clupeiformes; Clupeidae. The record is from RefSeq and is a predicted model, not a curated record. The transcript has 2 exons.